RNAcentral lists this transfer RNA (84 nucleotides) under Anaerolineales bacterium. RNAcentral describes it as "tRNA-Leu". It matches the Rfam family "tRNA". Rfam says of the family: Transfer RNA (tRNA) molecules are approximately 80 nucleotides in length. Their secondary structure includes four short double-helical elements and three loops (D, anti-codon, and T loops). The record is from RNAcentral. Lineage: Bacteria; Bacillati; Chloroflexota; Anaerolineae; Anaerolineales.
GGCGCGGUGGCGGAACUGGCAGACGCAGAGGACUUAAAAUCCUCCGGUGGCAACACCUUGUGGGUUCGAUCCCCACCCGCGCUA